This is a long non-coding RNA of Boleophthalmus pectinirostris (great blue-spotted mudskipper), 295 nucleotides long. RefSeq lists it as uncharacterized. The record is from RefSeq and is a predicted model, not a curated record. NCBI's taxonomy places the organism in Eukaryota, Metazoa, Chordata, Actinopteri, Gobiiformes, Gobiidae. The transcript is spliced from 2 exons.
GUACACGCGCUUUACUUCCCCUCACUCUCAGCUGCGGCUGAUGUGUUUUGUCUGUAAAAACUCUCAACAAAGUUCUGGAAUUUUUAAAUAACGGCGUAUUUCAACUGUCCUGCUAAGGUCAGAUUUCCCACGGACUGAUUCUGUGAUUUGAAAAACAACCUCAACUCAACAAACUUCCAGAUAAUGAGCUAAGAGUCUGUGCGGUGGGACAGACUAUUUGUUUUGUAUUAUUGGACCUGGGAUUUGUACAAACUGUCUUCAAACUGUAGUUUAUAAUAAAACAACUGAAAAUUAA